Long non-coding RNA from Gavialis gangeticus (Gharial), 735 nucleotides. RefSeq lists it as uncharacterized. The transcript is spliced from 2 exons. NCBI's taxonomy places the organism in Eukaryota, Metazoa, Chordata, Crocodylia, Gavialidae. The record is from RefSeq and is a predicted model, not a curated record.
UAAAGUUAAACAAUUGUAUCAGUAUCAGUGAAUCAACAUUACUAUAUCACCAUCCUGACUGACAUUCAGACUAUUCACCUGGGCAUCAACUUGGUCUAGGUCCUGACAUCCAGGAGGUAAUGAAGUCUUGCAGAUUCUUGCUGCAUCCAUACAGCUAAACCUCUCGCCAGGCUCUCACCAUUUCAUGUCUCUGUUAAUGAAACCUCUUUUGGCUUGAUCAGUGCAAUCCUCCCCAUCAAUACCCCUCCAGAAUGAGGCUGCAAAGAUCAUUUUCCUGGCCUGUCUCUCUGAGCAUCACUCCUCACUAUGCAUUGCUCCUGUGGUUUCCCCUUCUCUACAGCAUUAAACACAAGCAGCCUCUGUUCACUUUCAAUGUCCUUCGCAGGUUAUUAUUUUACAUUCAAUACAGAAAUCUUGAAUCCUUUCCAUGAUCAGGCCAUGAUACCAGCCUCCCUCAUUUAUUUGUCUGGUUUUCAAAUACACACCUUCAUGCUUUCUUUCAGGUUGCCCUUCAUGCUUGAGAGGUCCUUACCAUAAACAUCUGAAAAGCUGCUUCCCUCUAUUCCUUCAAAACCCUCCUUAAAAAUCUCCUUUAUCAGGAUGUCUACAAAAGUAUUGACAAGAGGUUGUGGAUGGACUAUGGCUAUCACAGAGGUAGGCAACGGUUUUUGGCCGGAGUGCUGAAAAGACCACAAUGUCUACCUUGUGAGGUGCCGGAGUGCCGAUAUGCCACAA